AGCGAACGCUGGCGGCAGGCCUAACACAUGCAAGUCGAACGAACUCUUCGGAGUUAGUGGCGGACGGGUGAGUAACACGUGGGAACGUGCCUUUUGGUUCGGAAUAACUCAGGGAAACUUGUGCUAAUACCGAAUGUGCCCUUCGGGGGAAAGAUUUAUCGCCAUUAGAGCGGCCCGCGUCUGAUUAGCUAGUUGGUGAGGUAACGGCUCACCAAGGCGACGAUCAGUAGCUGGUCUGAGAGGAUGACCAGCCACACUGGGACUGAGACACGGCCCAGACUCCUACGGGAGGCAGCAGUGGGGAAUCUUGCGCAAUGGGCGAAAGCCUGACGCAGCCAUGCCGCGUGAAUUAUGAAGGUCUUAGGAUUGUAAAAUUCUUUCACCGGGGACGAUAAUGACGGUACCCGGAGAAGAAGCCCCGGCUAACUUCGUG
RNAcentral lists this ribosomal RNA (433 nucleotides) under uncultured bacterium. RNAcentral describes it as "partial 16S ribosomal RNA". It matches the Rfam family "Bacterial small subunit ribosomal RNA", at positions 29 to 507 of the family's 1533-position model. The record is from RNAcentral.